CCUACGGGAGGCUGCAGUAGGGAAUAUUGCUCAAUGGGGGAAACCCUGAACCAGCAACGCCGCGUGGAGGAUGAAGGUUUUCGGAUUGUAAACUCCUUUUGUUAGAAAAGAUAAUGACGGUAUCUAACGAAUAAGCACCGGCUAACUCCGUGCCAGCAGCCCCGGUAAUACUGAGGGUGCAAGCGUUACUCGGAAUCACUGGGCGUAAAGAGAGCGUAGGCGGGAUAGCAAGUCGGAUGUGAAAUCCUAUGGCUUAACCAUAGAACUGCAUUUGAAACUGUUAUUCUAGAGUAUGGGAGAGGUAGGUGGAAUUCUUGGUGUAGGGGUAAAAGCCGUAGAGAUUAAGAGGAAUACUCAUUGCGAAGGCGACCUGCUAGAACAUAACUGACGCUGAUGCGCGAAAGCGUGGGGAGCAAACAGGAUUAGAUACCCUAGUAGUC
RNAcentral lists this ribosomal RNA (440 nucleotides) under uncultured bacterium. Its description in RNAcentral is "partial 16S ribosomal RNA". It matches the Rfam family "Bacterial small subunit ribosomal RNA", at positions 338 to 795 of the family's 1533-position model. The record is from RNAcentral.